This 497-nucleotide ribosomal RNA is filed under the name uncultured bacterium. RNAcentral describes it as "partial 16S ribosomal RNA". It matches the Rfam family "Bacterial small subunit ribosomal RNA", at positions 28 to 507 of the family's 1533-position model. The record is from RNAcentral.
GAUGAACGCUGGCGGCGUGCCUAAUACAUGCAAGUCGAGCGAACAGACGAGGAGCUUGCUCCUCUGACGUUAGCGGCGGACGGGUGAGUAACACGUGGAUAACCUACCUAUAAGACUGGGAUAACUUCGGGAAACCGGAGCUAAUACCGGAUAAUAUAUUGAACCGCAUGGUUCAAUAGUGAAAGACGGUUUUGCUGUCACUUAUAGAUGGAUCCGCGCCGCAUUAGCUAGUUGGUAAGGUAACGGCUUACCAAGGCAACGAUGCGUAGCCGACCUGAGAGGGUGAUCGGCCACACUGGAACUGAGACACGGUCCAGACUCCUACGGGAGGCAGCAGUAGGGAAUCUUCCGCAAAGGGCGAAAGCCUUACGGAGCAACGCCGCGUGAGUGAUGAAGGUCUUCGGAUCGUAUAACUCUGUUAUUAGGGAAGAACAAAUGUGUACGUAACUAUGCACGUCUUGACGGUACCUAAUCAGAAAGCCACGGCUAACUACGUG